AGUGAACGCUGGCGGUAGGCCUAACACAUGCAAGUCGAACGGCAGCACAGUAAGAGCUUGCUCUUACGGGUGGCGAGUGGCGGACGGGUGAGGAAUACAUCGGAAUCUACUUUUUCGUGGGGGAUAACGUAGGGAAACUUACGCUAAUACCGCAUACGACCUACGGGUGAAAGCAGGGGAUCUUCGGACCUUGCGCGAUUGAAUGAGCCGAUGUCGGAUUAGCUAGUUGGCGGGGUAAAGGCCCACCAAGGCGACGAUCCGUAGCUGGUCUGAGAGGAUGAUCAGCCACACUGGAACUGAGACACGGUCCAGACUCCUACGGGAGGCAGCAGUGGGGAAUAGUGGACAAUGGGCGCAAGCCUGAUCCAGCCAGACCGCGUGGGUGAAGAAGGCCUUCGGGUUGUAAAGCCCUUUUGUUGGGAAAGAAAAGCAGCAGGUUAAUACCCAGCUGUUCUGACGGUACCCAAAGAAUAAGCACCGGCUAACUUCGUG
RNAcentral lists this ribosomal RNA (492 nucleotides) under uncultured bacterium. Its description in RNAcentral is "partial 16S ribosomal RNA". It matches the Rfam family "Bacterial small subunit ribosomal RNA", at positions 29 to 507 of the family's 1533-position model. The record is from RNAcentral.